RNAcentral lists this ribosomal RNA (253 nucleotides) under uncultured bacterium. Its description in RNAcentral is "partial 16S ribosomal RNA". It matches the Rfam family "Bacterial small subunit ribosomal RNA", at positions 524 to 776 of the family's 1533-position model. The record is from RNAcentral.
UACGUAGGGUGCGAGCGUUGUCCGGAAUUAUUGGGCGUAAAGGGCUCGUAGGCGGUUUGUCGCGUCGGGAGUGAAAUCCUACGGCUUAACUGUGGGCUUGCUUUCGAUACGGGCAGACUAGAGGUAUGCAGGGGAGAACGGAAUUCCUGGUGUAGCGGUGAAAUGCGCAGAUAUCAGGAGGAACACCGGUGGCGAAGGCGGUUCUCUGGGCCGAUACUGACGCUGAGGAGCGAAAGCGUGGGGAGCGAAUAGG